GUAGGUGGCAAGCGUUGUCCGGAUUUACUGGGCGUAAAGGGCUUGUAGGCGGUUCGUUAAGUCCGGUGUGAAAUCUCCCGGCUCAACUGGGAGGGGCCAUCGGAAACUGGCGAGCUAGAGGUGGGCAGAGGAAAGCGGAAUCCCCGGUGUAGCGGUGAAAUGCGUAGAUAUCGGGAGGAACACCAGUGGCGAAGGCGGCUUUCUGGGCCUAUCCUGACGCUGAGGAGCGAAAGCGUGGGGAGCAAACCGGAUUAGAUACCCGGGUAGUCCACGCCCUAAACGGUGGAUGCUAGGUGUGGGGGGUGUCGACCCCCUUCUGUGCCGUAGCUAACGCUUUAAGCAUCCCGCCUGGGGAGUACGGCCGCAAGGCUA
RNAcentral lists this ribosomal RNA (372 nucleotides) under uncultured bacterium. RNAcentral's name for it is "bacterial SSU rRNA". It matches the Rfam family "Bacterial small subunit ribosomal RNA", at positions 527 to 896 of the family's 1533-position model. The record is from RNAcentral.